RNAcentral lists this long non-coding RNA (2948 nucleotides) under Gossypium raimondii (Peruvian cotton). RNAcentral describes it as "long non-coding RNA (GRAI_LNC008873)". Lineage: Eukaryota; Viridiplantae; Streptophyta; Magnoliopsida; Malvales; Malvaceae. The record is from RNAcentral.
GGGUGUCACACUAUGGACAUCACAAGUGAAUAAAUCCAUAAAUGAAUUUAGGAUCUAUUCUACUUGGGUCAUAUCCGAUGUAUAGUAAGUCCAGUCAGUCACAUCUAUAUUUCAAUCUUCUGGGAGUCAUCUACUCCGAUGCUCAAGACUAAACAUCUCCCAAUUGGACUUGACAGACAACAUAUUAAUUUUUCAAUCGGUUUGCUCAUUUGCAAUUAGAUUAAUGACAUGUUUAGGUUUAUCUACUAAUACAACGUAAUAUUACUUACUAUUAGUUUAACGUCGAAUAAUCAAUGAGUUAAUAUUUGCUUUCAUUUUGCUUCGCAUGCAAAAACCAUUGAAGACAAUAUACAAAUAUAUUAAUGUAAUUUACGGAUAUUUUUAUUAAAUCAAUUUAUUCGAAAAAUACAAAUAUAUAUGAAUGGGAUAACUACACUUAAAAGCACCAAACCUAGCAACUCCUUGAUAUAGGUUUGGAAAUUAUAGACCAUCCCACUCUUGCACUCUUAUCAUCCAUAAUUAAAAGGGAAAAUUGUAAGGAUUCUUGAUGAAAAAAAUUCAUCAGCCUUUGUAGCGACCUAAAAAUUUCGGCACGGGCGCUACUCGAAGUGAUUAUUGAAAAUUUGAAAAUUGAAUCUCGACUUUAUUUGAAAAGGAGUCGCCACUGAUCUUUUUUCUAGGUGUGAUCGGACACUUACAAAAUUCUCUUUUUAGAAGAAAAUUUUAUUUUUAAACUUUUCUAAAAAAGAGGUAAUUUUAGGUCCACGUAAAAAUCCAGAGAAAAUUAGGGUUCGGGAGUCGGUUACGCGCGAGGAAGGUAUUAGCACCCUCGCGACGCCCAAAAUUGGUAUCUCGUAAAACACGCGUUGUCUUAAUUUUCAAAAAUACAAGUUCAAUUUAAUAGUUAAUCGCGAUCCGAUCAAAAUACGAAUUUUUUUUUAAACACGAAGAUUUUUGAAAUAAUUAUUUUUUUGAGAACACGAAAAAUUUUUAAAACACGAGGAUCUUAGAAACACGAAAAUUCUUAAAAGCACGAGGAUUUUUUUUGAAACACGAAAAUUUUUGAAAAUACGGAAAUUUUUAAAACACAGGAAUUUUUUGGAAACAUGAAAAUUUUUGAAACACGAUUAGUUUUUUUUUAAAGGUACCGCAUUUGACACGAAUCAAUGAUAUUCACCCCUACAUGGCGAUGAAAUCAUCGAAUUAGUGUUAAAUCGAUUCAACUUAAUAUUUAAUCGUGAUUCUAUUAAAACACGAGAAACCUUUUUUAUUUUUUAAAAAACACGAGAAUUUUUGAAUAUCUUCGCUUUUUUUUUUUAAAAAGGGCGUCCCGUAUUUGACACGAGCCAUCGAUAUUCACCCAACAUAGCGAUGAAAUCAAUGACUUAAUGCUAAAUCGGUUCGUGGCCUCAUGCAUCAAAAUUGUUCGAAUUUAACGAAUAAAAUAAAAUAAAAUUAAAAAAACAUAAAUACAAAAUAAAAAUAUUUAAAAAUAUGCAAUAAUAUUAAAAACGAGACAACAUUUAAAUAUUUAGACAAAAUUAAAAGUUCAAGAAUUUACCAAAACCCAAAGUUAUGGGCUGCACAAUUUUGAGCCUUUUCCUUUUUUUCUCUUUCUUUUCUCUUUUUUCUUUUUCUUUUCUUUUUUCUUUUUUUCUUCAGGUUGGGCCGCUGGGUGCUGGGCCGGAUGCUGGCCUGCUGCUGAAACGGGCCUGAGGCUGCUGGAGCUGGCCUGCUAGAGCUGCUGUUGGGCCUGGAGACCUGCUGGGCCUUUGCUGGAAUGGCCUGCUACUUACUUUUUGUUGCAGUUUUUUUUUUCUUUAAAAAGCCUGCUGUUUGGGCCUAAUCUGCUGGGCCUGCUGGGUGUUGUGGGUCUGCUGGCUGUUCCGGGUCGGGUUGCUAGUUCGGGUCGGGUCGGGUCGAGUCGGUUCGACCCGACUGAUUUAAUUGUUUUUUUUUAUUUUUUCUUUUUUUUCCCCCCUUUCUUCUUCCUUCUUCUUUCUUCUUUUUUUUUUUCUUUUUUUCUUCUCCUUCGUUCAGCCCCCGACGGCGCUUCCCGGGCUGGUGCGACGGUCGGCAGCGGCGCGCGGUGGAGAUCUCCUCUUCUCCUCCCCUUUUCCUUUUCUUCUUUUUCUUUUUCUUCCUUUGUCUUUCUCUUUUAUUUUUGUUUGUUGUUUGCUUCUUGCUCUCUUUUUUUGCUUCUUGGCUGUUGUUUGCUUUGCUAGGUGCCGGCGAUGGAAGUGCUGCGGCGGUGGGCACGGUGGCGUUGGUGCGAGGGCCGGCGAUGUGCUGCUGUUUUUGCUUGAUUUUCCUCUAAAAAAUUUUGUUGUUUUUUUUCUUUUUGCUUCCUUCCUUCCUCCUCCAAUUUUGGGGUUUGAAACCCCUUUUAAAUUGUUGCUUUUUCUUCCUUUUUGCAGGUAGCAAGUGGGUUAGGGGAGAGGGAGGCCAUGCUUUAGGUCGGCUGUCCCAGUGUAGGCGCAAGUUGGGCUGAUUGCUGUCAGAGGGACCAAAUCGUAAACGCAGAAAAUUUUUGGGGUAAAAUUAUAAUUUUGAGAAAGUUUAGGGGUUAAUAUGUAAUUUUGAGAAAGUUUAGAGGUCAAAAUGUAAUUUAAAAAGUUUAGGGGUUGAAGUGUAAUUUUGAGAAAUUUUAGGGUCAAAAUGAAAUUUUAGAAAAGUUUAGAGGUCAAAAUGCAAAAAAUUAAUUUUGUUUUUUUUUUUUUUUAAAACACGAAAUUAUUCCCGGACAAAAUUCAGUGAUUACAGCCUUAAAAAAGAAAAGAAAGAAAAACCGACUUGUUUAGCCUUAACUGGUUUAAAGGUCUGGUGUAUUUAUCCGGGUUCUUUUUUUAUACAUUUUCAACUUCAGUGUACAAGAUUAUUUAUUUAAUUUUUCUUUAGAUUUCGCAAGAACCAAUAAGAAAGAGAAAGAGAGGUUCUACAUAGCACAC